Nematolebias whitei (Rio pearlfish) is the source of this 92-nucleotide small nucleolar RNA. RefSeq annotates it as small nucleolar SNORD12/SNORD106. NCBI's taxonomy places the organism in Eukaryota, Metazoa, Chordata, Actinopteri, Cyprinodontiformes, Rivulidae. The record is from RefSeq and is a predicted model, not a curated record. The transcript has a single exon.
AAUGUGGUUAAUGAUGUAUUUCUUUUUUCCCCGUCUUAUCGACAAUGGUGAUAACCAGCUGUUACUAAGCCAAACGUGUCUGAAACCACAUU